RNAcentral lists this ribosomal RNA (478 nucleotides) under uncultured bacterium. RNAcentral describes it as "bacterial SSU rRNA". It matches the Rfam family "Bacterial small subunit ribosomal RNA", at positions 28 to 502 of the family's 1533-position model. The record is from RNAcentral.
GAUGAACGCUGGCGGCGUGCCUAACACAUGCAAGUCGAACGGAGUUGUCACCAUGAAGUUUUCGGAUGGAAUGGAGGCAACUUAGUGGCGGACGGGUGAGUAACGCGUGGGUAACCUGCCUCAUACUGGGGGAUAACAGCUGGAAACGGCUGCUAAAACCGCAUAAGAUCGCAUCACCGCAUGGUGAGGCGGUUAAAUAUCGAAAAGAUAGGUAUGAGAUGGGCCCGCGUCUGAUUAGCUAGUUGGUGAGAUAAGAGCCCACCAAGGCGACGAUCAGUAGCCGGCUUGAGAGAGUGACCGGCCACAUUGGGACUGAGACACGGCCCAAACUCCUACGGGAGGCAGCAGUGGGGAAUAUUGCACAAUGGGGGAAACCCUGAUGCAGCGACGCCGCGUGAGUGAAGAAGUGACUUCGGCAUGUAAAGCUCUAUCAGCAGGAAGAAGAUGACGUACCUGACUAAGAACGCCCGGACUAACU